AUCAAGAACGAAAGUUAGAGGUUCGAAGGCGAUCAGAUACCGCCCUAGUUCUAACCAUAAACGAUGCCAGCCAGCGAUCCGCCGAUGUUCCUCCGAUGACUCGGCGGGGAGCUUUCCCCGGGAAACCAAAGCUUUUGGGUUCCGGGGGAAGUAUGGUUGCAAAGCUGAAACUUAAAGGAAUUGACGGAAGGGCACCACCAGGAGUGGAGCCUGCGGCUUAAUUUGACUCAACACGGGAAACCUCA
Molecule: ribosomal RNA, 245 nt
Filed under: Homoeocerus marginellus
Lineage: Eukaryota; Metazoa; Arthropoda; Insecta; Hemiptera; Coreidae
Description: partial small subunit ribosomal RNA
Rfam family: Eukaryotic small subunit ribosomal RNA
Source: RNAcentral